Molecule: long non-coding RNA, 1715 nt
Organism: Haemorhous mexicanus (house finch)
Lineage: Eukaryota; Metazoa; Chordata; Aves; Passeriformes; Fringillidae
Exons: 3
Source: RefSeq, a predicted model, not a curated record
AGCAGUUCUUGACCCUUUGGCUGUUACAGACCAGGCCAUUAGAAAUGGUUCUCCCAGUAACUUGGUCAAUGUGUGGUCCACAAAAAUUGGAUUUGUUACUGGGGUGCAACAGGUAAAUGAUGAGCCACUUGAGAGAGACAUUGGUUGCUGGUUUCAGUGUUUCACCAGUCUGGGCGCUCAGUGGUAUUUCACAAAUCAGACACACCCACUUCCAAAAGAACUUCUAUUAUUUAUAAAUUUAAACCAAGAAAGAAAUUAGCAUUAAGUGGUUGCAAGUGACAUGGUUAUCUUCUUAGCCAGUAUUUUGUCUUCUUUUGGUUAGUGAUUGUCUCUCUUCUCACUGUAAUUAGUCCACUGAGUGCAUUGCUCAGUCUGCCUCUUCUUUUGGGCUGGGGAGGUUCUUGAGUUGCCGCUCCACGAGUCGGUGGUCACAAUCUCCCCCUGCAGGAAUUACUUUUUACCAGUCAGAGCUGAUUUCAGGACAGUUGGGUUUCUUAGUUCCUUAUCCUGGGAGUUGUUCCAGAUUUCCAUGGGGCCCCUCAAUUCUGCAUUCUUUGUGUCCACUCUCAGUGGGCAUCCUUCUCCCCAAACUUUGUUAAGCCUUCCCUGGGUCUGAGCUCCUUGAAGCAUGUCAAGCCCUGAACCUUAACAAGGCAAUUCUACCAACAAGGAAUUUGUUUUUCUGCCCCAUGGGCAUCACUUAGAUCUUGUUUGUGAGUUGUUGUCUAUUUAAUGGACCAUAUCUCCCAGUUGAUUUGGCUUGAACAUACAUAAAGAUCAAACAUGAAUACAAGCGGCAUUCUUCCUAAGAAAUCUUUUACAUAUUCUGCAUUUUGCAUCACAUAUAACUCCAUUCUUAAAUUAGCUUAAUUAAGGAGGAAGAUAAUGACAAUUUUCUAAGGGCAUACUGCUUCAAGUAAUUUUUAGUUUCCAUGGACUGUCUUUGAGAAUCUCAGGUCACCUUUUUUAGCUGUGUGUAGGCUGAACAGAGCAAAAAUUUUGUGUUGUUUUGUAGCAGAGGAGCCACAAUGUGUGGAAGGGUCCACUCUUAGAAUUUGGGAAAGUAGCUUGUUUAUGCUUGUUUUUAAACCAGCUGAAUAGAGUCCAUUUCAAAUAGGAAGCAUUGCUGACUAUUUAUAUAACUCAUUUCAAGGGUAGCUCCAGGGAGAGAGAGAAUAAGAGAUCUAAUUUCUGAAAAUUAAAUUACAGUGUAUGGACAGGAAAGCAGAAAUGUUACACUGAACAGCCAGGAGCAGGUGGAUGGCUCUGGUAAUGGAACAGGAGCUCAUGAUGCACCUGUGGCUGACCCAGCCCCUGCAGAACAGGGAGCAGCAGAGGAGGACACUGCACAUUCAGAUUCUGUUUCUUCCAGUGCACAGCAAAGAGUUGUCAUUAGGUGUCCAAUUUGCAUGGAAUUUUACUCCGAGAUUCUACAACAUGGACAACAGCUUGUGGUGACCCUGUGUGGCCAUGUCUUCUGCACUAGAUGCCUCCCUAUUGCCCUGGAGACUACUCACAGGUGCCCAACCUGCAGGGCGGAACAAUAUCCAGAUGAAUAUAUUAAUAUUUUUUUAUGAGUGCUUCUCAGGACACACUCAGAUGGAUCUUGGACAAUAGGCAGUGGAGAGACUUGUUUCUUUGUCUAUAUAGUUCUUCCUGUACAUAGUUUCAUUUUUUUCUGAAUUCAAUUUAAAUAAAGUUUUGAAUAGUUGAAA